RNAcentral lists this ribosomal RNA (484 nucleotides) under uncultured bacterium. RNAcentral describes it as "partial 16S ribosomal RNA". It matches the Rfam family "Bacterial small subunit ribosomal RNA", at positions 30 to 507 of the family's 1533-position model. The record is from RNAcentral.
AUUGAACGCUGGCGGCAGGCCUAACACAUGCAAGUCGAGCGGAUGAAGGGAGCUUGCUCCUGGAUUCAGCGGCGGACGGGUGAGUAAUGCCUAGGAAUCUGCCUGGUAGUGGGGGAUAACGUCCGGAAACGGGCGCUAAUACCGCAUACGUCCAGAGGGUGAAAGUGGGGGAUCUUCGGACAUCACGCUAUCAGAUGAGCCUAGGUCGGAUUAGCUAGUUGGUGGGGUAAAGGCCUACCAAGGCGACGAUCCGUAACUGGUCUGAGAGGAUGAUCAGUCACACUGGAACUGAGACACGGUCCAGACUCCUACGGGAGGCAGCAGUGGGGAAUAUUGGGCAAAGGGCGAAAGCCUGAUCCAGCCAUGCCGCGUGUGUGAAGAAGGUCUUCGGAUUGUAAAGCACUUUAAGUUGGGAGGAAGGGCAGUAAGUUAAUACCUUGCUGUUUUGACGUUACCAACAGAAUAAGCACCGGCUAACUACGUG